AACGAACGCUGGCGGCAUGCCUAACACAUGCAAGUCGAACGAAACCUUCGGGUCUAGUGGCGCACGGGUGCGUAAGGCGGGGGAAGCUGCCCUUAGGUUCGGAAUAACUCCCUUAAAGGGGUGCUAAUGCCGGUUGAUGUCUUCGGGCCAAAGAUUUAUCGCCAUUGGAUGGGCGCGGGUUGGAUUCGCUGGUUGGUAGUGUAAAAGCAUACCAAGGCGACGUUCCAUAGCUGGUCGGAGAGGAUGCCCAGCCACACUGGGACUGAGACACGGCCCAGACUGCUACGCGAGGCAGCAGUGGGGAAUAUUGUACAAUGGGCGAAAGCCUGACCAAGCAAUGCCGGGUGAGUGAUGAAGGCCUUAGGGUUGUAAAGCUCUUUUACCCGGGAUGAUAAUGACAGUACCGGGAGAAUAAGCACCGGCUAACUCCGUG
This 433-nucleotide ribosomal RNA is filed under the name uncultured bacterium. Its description in RNAcentral is "partial 16S ribosomal RNA". It matches the Rfam family "Bacterial small subunit ribosomal RNA", at positions 29 to 507 of the family's 1533-position model. The record is from RNAcentral.